AAAAAAGUUUCUGGAGUCAACUUGCAGUCAUCCAGAAAUCCAGGCAUUGAAGUACUGCAUUCCUUCUUCCCAGACUCUUGGAUCAUUGAGCGUGUAGUCCAGCCAUUUCUGUUCCUGUACACGGAGAAAACACAUUUGCCACUGAGGAUUUUGUAUGAUAUCAUCUUGUAGCCAAAGCAAAAGUUGUGGGAGGAAGCAGCAGAAGAUGAAGAUGAAAUAGGCUGGGGCUGAUUACAAAAUACCAUGAAGGAUCCCAGGAAAGUGAUUCCAAUUCACAGAUGAAUCAUUAUACCAGGCUGGAGAGAAAUAAUGAAACUAAUAUGAAAACAAAUGUGGAUACAGAAAUUUCCUUUCAACUUAGACAAGCCAACAUUUUCCUGGAUGUCAAUUUUUGUAGUAAAUCUUGGCUUAGUGACUAAUAAUGGAUUUAUCCUAUUUUUUUGGAUUGAAAAAAGAAAUUGCUAGUGUAGUGGCCCACAGGAGGUUCUUUCAAAGCAAAUGAGCCCCUGUUUUCCAGGUAGGGGUGAUGUUGAUUCUGCCUCAGGCCCUGUGGGAUGAUCUUCCUGGAAAAUGGUCUCAGUUCAAGCUUCUCCUUUAAGCUCCAAAGUGAUGAAUGAAUCCUGUACAAGCUUGUGAUCCUGAAAGCCACGCUAAAGCCUGCAGGUUGCUGUGUUUGGCUCCUGACACCUGUUUCCAUUAACUACGAGACUCAACUGGGCACAUGAUCUAACUGUGGGUUGGGCUGCAGAAAAAUCUUGUUUUCAAGGAUCUACAUGCAGAUGGAUGAUUCAGUCAUUUGAGUCUCCACCGUCUGCCUUCUGUUGCCUGAUUUUAGUCAUCAAGGAGAUCAAGGGGAGAAGCAGCAUGGAAAAGUCCACCUGGGCUGGCAGUUCUAGCAGGACACUGGGUGCAAAGGGGAGGUGGUGGAAACUUUCUGUUGGAUACAAUUUCUAGGUUAGGUGGUGACUUUGAGUAUCCAGGUUUUUCUUAUAUAUAUUUCAGAUCCUUGGAGGAAGAGAGGUAAUCUGUAUAUUCACUUAGGGCAAUGAAUCCCAACAUGGAUUUUUAUGGAUUAGGAAAACUAAUUUUUUUUUGAUCAACAGAGUGUUGGUGGCUUUUUCUUUUCCUUCACAACAAAUGCGUUUAGGAGGUGGCUUUAAACACCUACUAUCAGGCAAACUUCUGUCAUCAUCAUUUCAAUUAAAAAAUGGACCUCUAACCAACACCCAUCCCAAUGAAGGAAAGAUACAAUCUCCCAAAACCGGCAAUUUUUAAAAUUUAGUAAGUUUGGCUUUUGUGAAAAAAACUCACUACAUUAUUUUUCUCAUUUUGCCAUGGAAUUUUGAGAACCUUGCCUAGCAAGGCAAGGCCUAAUGGCCUAGCAUUUGGGAACCUCAGCUCUAGAAAACUCUAGAAUGCCAGGGCAGAUCCACCAGGAAUCUAUUUCAUGCAGAAUCAAUUAUCCCAACAGAGAAGCAGUUUCAAGGUCUUCGAGUGGCUGGCUCAGGAGCUUAUUGUUAAGACUUUAGAGCUUCCCUGUUUUUGAUAGUGUUCUUGGUGAUCAGGGAGCGAUCAGAGGUAAGAGAGAGGCACAGAACAUUGACUGACUUGCAGCACAAAGGGAUGUUUUGCAUGGGAUUUUGUAUGGGGUCACUUGGGUGACAGCUUAUUUCCCAAUCCCAAAAGCACCUUGGUUACGUUCCUUGGACAUGGAAAGGAGGCAGGGGCUGUAGGAGAGCUAAAACUUAAUUAACAUAUAUAAAAGACUGAAGCAGGAAAUUGGGAGAUCAGGAUGGCCCCCUUCAGUCACUUUAUAAUCAUUGUAUACUUGGUAGGUAGAGUUAGUGUCAUUGCCCAGCAAGAGCAUUGUCAGCGGCCAGGUUAGCAUCAGCAGAGGUGAGAGAGGUGGAGAGGUGCCAUCACGGCAGCGACAGACUCUAGGCAGAAUCAAGGCGAGGUCAGUGCAUGCUAAGAAAGUGGAGACUUAGAGGGAGCUAGGAUCACAGGGCAAAGGCGCCAGAGAUUGGCAGAGGUGGGCACUGGUGACCAGUAAAAUAAUGAUGACAUGACUCUGCCCAGAGAGGGGAGAAGUUUUGGGAGCUCCAUUUCCAGGAUUCCACUGAUGAGGACAGAGGGUCAAAGUAUAAAUAGCUGCCGUAUAUGCUCAUUCUCCCAGCCAACCAUCUCCUGAUUUUUAACAUCUUGCUUUGGUGUACAUUUGGUACAAUGGGUGAACAACUAUUUAGACAUUAUUAACCAAAGUCCAUAGUUUACAUUAGGAUUAACUUUUUGUGUGAUACAUUCCAUGGGUUUUGACAACUGUAUAUUAUCACGUAUCCACCAUUACAGUAUCAUACGGAAUAGUUUCACUGCCCUGGAAGUCCCCUGUGCAUCCCCUGUCAUCCCUCCCUUGCUUUCUGGUGAACCCCUAGUGACCACUGAUCUUUCUAGUGUCUUUAUAGUCUUGUGUUUCCAGAAUCUUAUAUAGCUGGAUUCAGACAGUAAUGAAGGCUGGCUUUUUUCACUUAACAAUAUGCAUGUAACCUCCUCCUACCUCUUUUCUUGGCUUGAUAGUUCAUUCUUUUUAACACUAUUUUUAAAAUUAAUUAAUUAAUUAAUUAAUUUUUUGAGACAGAGUCUUGCUCUGUCACCCAGGCUGGAGUGCGGUGGCAUAAUCUUGUCUCACUGCAAACUCUGCCUCCUGGAUUCAAGAGAUUCUCCUGCCUCAGCCUCCCGAGUAGCUGGGAUUACAGGUGUGCACCACCGUGCCCGGCUAAUUUUUGUAUUUUUAGUAGAGAUGGGGUUUCACCAUGUUGGCCAGGCUGGUCUCAAACUCCUGGCCUUAAGUGAUCUGCCUGCCUCGGCCUCCCAAAGUGCUGGGAUUACAGGAGUGAGACACCAUGCCUGGCCAACACUGUUUUAAAUUGUGAUGAAAUAUAGACAACAUGAAAUUUACUGUCUUCACCAUUUUUAAGCGUAGAGUUUAGUGGUGUUAAGUACAUUCACAGUGAUGUACAACUGCCCCACCAUCCAUCUUCAGAACUCUUUAUGCAAAGCUAAAACUCCGUCUAUUAAAAAAUAACUCCCCAUUUCCCCUCUCUCCAGCCCGUGCAGCCACCAUUUUACUUUCUGAUUUUUCUUUCACUCAACUGCUCUAGUAGUUCAUAUAAGUAGAAUCAUACAAUAUUUGUUGGGGUUUGACUGGCUUAUUUCACUUAGCAUAAUGUCCUCAAGUUUCAUCCAGGUUGCAGCAUGUGUCAGAAUUUCCUUUCUUUUUAAGUCUGAAUAAUAUCCCAUUGUGUGUAUACACCAUAUUUUAUCUAAUUCAUUCAACGAUGCACACUUGAGCUGCUUUCAUCUUUUGUUAUUGUGAAUAAUGGUGCCAUGAACACAAGUGUGUAAAUAUCUCUUUGUUUUCGAUUCUUUUGAGUAUAUAAACAAAAAUGGAAUUGCUGAGUGAAGUAGUAAUUUUAUUUUUAAUUUGUUAAGGAUCCACCACACCGUUUGCCAUAGCAGCUGCACCAACAGUACACGAGGAUUCCAAUUUUGCCACAUCAUCACCAACACUUAUUAUUUUCUGUUUUUGUUUUUGUUUUUUUUUUGAGACGGAGUCUCACUCUCACCCAGGCUGGAGUGCAGUGGCGUGAUCUCGGCUCACUGUAACCUCUGCCUCCUGGAUUCAAGCGAUUCUCCUGCCUCAGCCUCCCAAGUAGCUGGGAUUACAGAUGCCCGCUACCGCACCCGGCUGAUUUUUGUAUUUUUUAAUAGAGACGGGGUUUCAGCAUGUUGGCCAGGCUGGUCUCGAACUCCUGGUGCAGUGGCUCAUACCUGUAAUCCCAGCACUUUGGGAGGCCGAGGUGGAUGGGUCACUUGAGGUCAGGAGUAUUUUCUGCUUUUUUUUUUGAGAGUAGCCAUCCUAAUGGGUGUGAGGUAGUAUAUCAUUGUGGAUGAUAGCUCAUUUCUUUUUUAUCUCGGAAUAAUAUUCCCUUUUAUAGAUGUACCACAGUUUGCUUAUCUAUUUGCUUACCGGAGGCCAUCUCGGUUGCUUCCAAGUUUUGGCAGUUAUGAAUAAGGCUGGCAUAAGUGUUCAUGUGCAGGUUUUUGUGCGGACAUAUGUUUUUAACUCCUUUGGGUAAAUACCAAGAGAGUGAUCACUGGAUGAUAUGGUAAGAGUGUGUUUAGCUUUGUAAGACACUGCCAAACUGUCUUCCAAAGUGGCUGUACCAUUUUGCAUUUCCAAAAAAGACUAUUUUUAUGUCUAUUACCAUUGCUUCCCAUAUUUCUUGACUGUCCUUGCUCUGGUUUGUGUGUUCUGGUGAGGAAAAGCUGCAGAUGGAUCACUGACAAUUGGUAGAAUCUCUUUUUUAAUGCUCUUUUAAUAUGACCUUCAAUCAGCUAGCUCUCUGGAGGCUGAAGUUGGAAGGGACUGAGGUGAAAAUUGCUGGCUUUGUGUUCUGACAGCCAGAAUGCUUUUUCUUAAGUGAAUAAAAUAUAUUAAGAAAAUUAAAACUUUUAACACUCCCCAGAAUAAGAGGCACAAAUCACUUAAGUGUUAAUAUUCUUUUCUACUACAUUUCCUAUCCUAUUAAUACUUGGAUACCGUUCAAUAUCUGGACCCUUCCUUCCACAGAAAUCUGUUUAUUUUUCAGGGAAGGUGAUAGAGAAACUCCUCCUGAAAGUCUAGAUCUGGAACUCAGAAUUUGAAAUACCAGCCUCUUCAGAAAUAUUCAGAAGUUUUUUUUUUUUUUAAACAGGAAGAACUUCUAAAUUAAGAUCAUUGUUUUACUAUCGCAAGAACAAAAAACCAAACACCGCAUA
RNAcentral lists this long non-coding RNA (4818 nucleotides) under Homo sapiens (human). Its description in RNAcentral is "HSALNT0205733". The record is from RNAcentral. Lineage: Eukaryota; Metazoa; Chordata; Mammalia; Primates; Hominidae.